GCCCCGGUAGUCCAACCUGGUAGAGGCACUGCGCUCAGAACGCAGGUGUUGCUGGUUCGAAUCCAGCUCGGGGCACCA
Molecule: transfer RNA, 78 nt
Filed under: Alphaproteobacteria bacterium
Lineage: Bacteria; Pseudomonadati; Pseudomonadota; Alphaproteobacteria
Also listed under: 1 other name
Description: tRNA-Leu
Rfam family: tRNA
About the family: Transfer RNA (tRNA) molecules are approximately 80 nucleotides in length. Their secondary structure includes four short double-helical elements and three loops (D, anti-codon, and T loops). Further hydrogen bonds mediate the characteristic L-shaped molecular structure. tRNAs have two regions of fundamental functional importance: the anti-codon, which is responsible for specific mRNA codon recognition, and the 3' end, to which the tRNAs corresponding amino acid is attached (by aminoacyl-tRNA synthetases). tRNAs cope with the degeneracy of the genetic code in two manners: having more than one tRNA (with a specific anti-codon) for a particular amino acid; and 'wobble' base-pairing, i.e. permitting non-standard base-pairing at the 3rd anti-codon position.
Source: RNAcentral